CAGAGAUGGUCCUACUCACAAG
This 22-nucleotide unclassified non-coding RNA is filed under the name Mus musculus (house mouse). RNAcentral describes it as "oocyte_clustered_small_RNA7647". The record is from RNAcentral. Lineage: Eukaryota; Metazoa; Chordata; Mammalia; Rodentia; Muridae.